AUCGUACCUCAUGGUUCAUUCUAACCCUUCCGCGAGUCUUCUUCCCCCGGUGACUCUCCAGCCCAGAAAUGAAGUGUAAAAGAAUCAUGGAAACAGAGACACGCAAUUUUGAGAGAAGCAUGAAAUGACGUAACACGAGGACAGCAUUCCGUGGCAAUUGACACUCAUUUUUCAAUGAGUUUUACAGAGA
Trachymyrmex septentrionalis is the source of this 190-nucleotide long non-coding RNA. RefSeq lists it as uncharacterized. The transcript has 3 exons. Lineage: Eukaryota; Metazoa; Arthropoda; Insecta; Hymenoptera; Formicidae. The record is from RefSeq and is a predicted model, not a curated record.